UCGUGGUCAACAAGCAUAAUCUGAAGAAUCCAGGAACUCCCAAAGGAUUCUAAGAGGUCACAAAGACUGAUGCCAUCCGGCCCCAAAACUUCUACAGGACUGUCAAGAGAAAAAAUACCUGGAUCACUCAGGUGCCCUCUCCUCAGUCUUCCUCUCUCCAGGCUUGAAGAACUACAGCCAUUUCCAAGUUCUAAAAGGACAGCUAGGGGAGUUAUUUGUUUGUUUAUUUGUUUGCUUUGAUUUCAGAAAGAUGCGAACUCCAGGAUCUCUUGAGAGGCUGCCAGAGCCAGCAGCCCCAAGGAUACUUCCAACAGUGGGCAUUGGUGCAAUUCUAUAAAAAGAAACCAGAAACCAUUUAAAUGUGUGAGGAAGAAGCACUUCCAGAUGUUUGAGGAAAGAUGUAAGAUAGCAAGAUUCGUUAGGGCAGAUAAUCCAGGCACCUGCUCCCCCAUGAUGGAAGCCAAAGAUGUCCCUGAAGCCACCUCCAGCUGCAUCCUUUCCUGCAUUGCCCACAUGGUCACAACUCGGCUGAUUAAACUCCCUCUCAGAACUUUGGUCUUGAGCAAAGGGAUUCGAGGGUGAAGGGACUGAAGGUCUGUCCUUCCAAAGUGGUAUGUGAGCAAAUGACUAAAGUUUACCUAGCCCUUCCAAGCACUUUUUUUCUUAAUUUUUAUUUAUUUGUUUAUUUUUUGAGACAGAGUCUCCGCUCUGUUGCCUAGGCUGGAGUGCAGUGGCAUGAUCUUGGUUCACUACAACUUCCACCUCCCGGGUUCAAGGGAUUCUCCUGCCUCAGCCUCCCCAGUAGCUGAGAUAACAGGCAUACGCCACCAUGUCUGGCUAAUUUUUUUGUAUUUUUAGUAGAGAUGGGGUUUCACCAUGUUGGCCAGGCUGGUCUCGAACUCCUGGCCUCAAGGAAUCCACCUGCCUCGGCCUCCCAAAGUGCUGGGAUUACACGUGUGAGCCACUGUGCCCGGCCCCAAGUACUUGUUACACAUCAACUCAUUUAAACUUCACAGUAAUACUGAGAAGAGUGAUAUCAUCGCCAUCUUACAGAUCAGAAAACUGAGGCAGAAAGCUGUUAAAAGCCUUCCC
This 1092-nucleotide long non-coding RNA is filed under the name Papio anubis (olive baboon). Its description in RNAcentral is "lncRNA (ENSPANG00000048780.1)". The record is from RNAcentral. Lineage: Eukaryota; Metazoa; Chordata; Mammalia; Primates; Cercopithecidae.